RNAcentral lists this transfer RNA (30 nucleotides) under Ochotona rufescens (Afghan pika). RNAcentral's name for it is "partial transfer RNA-Phe". The record is from RNAcentral. Lineage: Eukaryota; Metazoa; Chordata; Mammalia; Lagomorpha; Ochotonidae.
GUUCAUGUAGCUUAUACUAUAAAGCAAGGG